UUCGGUUGAUCCUGCCGGAGGCUACCGCUAUUGGAGUUCGAUUAAGCCAUGCGAGUCGCGAGUCUUAGGGACUCGGCGUACCGCUCAGUAACACGUGGGUAACCUGCCCUAUGCUGGGGGAUAACCUCGGGAAACUGAGAAUAAUACCCCAUAGUUCACCACGCCUGGAACGGUGGGUGGAUGAAAGCUCCGGCGGCAUAGGAUGGGCCUGCGGCGUAUCAGGUUGUAGGGGGUGUAAUGUACCCUCUAGCCAUCUACGCGUACGGGUGUUGGGAGACAUCGCCCGGAGAUGGAUUCUGAGACACGAAUCCAGACCCUACGGGGUGCAGCAGGCGCGAAAACUUGGCAAUGCGAGCAAUCGUGACCAGGGAACUCCAAGUGCAUCGGGUAAGACCGAUGCUUUUCUUGACUCUUCAAAGGUCUUGGAAUAAGGGGUGGGUAAGGACGGUGCCAGCCGCCGCGGUAAUACCGGCGCCUCAAGUGGUAGUCGCUUUUAUUGGGCCUAAAACGUCCGUAGCCGGUUUGGUACAUUCGUGGGUAAAUCAAGGCGCUCAACGUCUUGAAUUCUGCGAGCACGGCCAGACUUGGGACCGGGUGAGGUGUGGGGUACUCUCAGGGUAGGGGUAAAAUCCUGUCAUCCUGAGAGGACCACCUGUUGCGAAGGCGCCACACUAGAACGGAUCCGACGGUCAGGGACGAAGCCUAGGGGCACGAACCGGAUUAGAUACCCGGGUAGUCCUAGGUGUAAACGCUGUGGACUUGAUGUUGGGAGUGCUCCGAGCACCCUCAGUGUCGAAGCGAAGGUGAUAAGUCCACUGCCUGGGGAGUACGGUCGCAAGGCUGAAACUUAAAGGAAUUGGCGGGGGAGCACUGCAACCUGAGGAUUGUGCGGUUCAAUUGGAUUCAACGCCGGA
This 914-nucleotide ribosomal RNA is filed under the name uncultured marine archaeon. Its description in RNAcentral is "bacterial SSU rRNA". It matches the Rfam family "Archaeal small subunit ribosomal RNA", at positions 1 to 922 of the family's 1478-position model. The record is from RNAcentral.